UACGUAGGGCGCAAGCGUUGUCCGGAAUUAUUGGGUCGUAAAGAGCUCGUAGGCGGUCUGUCGCGUCUGCUGUGAAAACUCAGGGCUUAACCCUGAGCUUGCAGUGGGUACGGGCAGACUAGAGUGCGGUAGGGGAGACUGGAAUUCCAAGGUGUAGCGGUGAAAUGCGUAGAUAUCUGGAGGAAUACCGGUGGCGAAGGCGGCAUCCUGGACCGGCAGUUGAACGCGUGAGGAGCGAAAGCGUGGGGAGCGAACAGG
RNAcentral lists this ribosomal RNA (258 nucleotides) under uncultured bacterium. Its description in RNAcentral is "partial 16S ribosomal RNA". It matches the Rfam family "Bacterial small subunit ribosomal RNA", at positions 524 to 776 of the family's 1533-position model. The record is from RNAcentral.